Cyprinus carpio (common carp) is the source of this 1106-nucleotide long non-coding RNA. NCBI's taxonomy places the organism in Eukaryota, Metazoa, Chordata, Actinopteri, Cypriniformes, Cyprinidae. The record is from Ensembl.
AUCUAAGCAGGAAGCAAUGGUUUGAAGGUAAAACAAAUGGUUUGAAGUUUCUUACAAACACGCAGCUUUUCACUUCACAAGAUAAGUUAAAGUUAAUUGAUGGACUAGAGUCAUGUGUGGAUUAUUGUGAUGUUUUUAUCAGCUGUUUGGACUCUCAUUCUGAUGGCACCCAUUCACUGCAGAGGAUACAUUGGUGAGCAAGUGAUGCAAUGUGGAAUUUCUCCAAAACUGUUCUCCAAAUCUGAAGAAACUUCUGAAGAAACAAACUCAUCUACAUCAUGGGUCAUUCCCAUCCUCAAAUUAUUAAUCCACAGUUCCUGAUCAAUAGCAGUGCAUGCAUGAGCAUCACAGCAAGAGGGCAAUCUUUUCUGAAUUUCUCUUCUGAACCUAACAGUCUAAUUCUCCUCGAGAUUAGCAGUGCUCUGAUAAAUUAUGCUGUGUUAUGGAUACAUUCCUGGUCCUUCAAGGUUAUAUAACAUUCAAUAUGCAGUAGAAGAGUGAGAGACAACUAAAUUCAGGUCAGGACACAGCAGGAAGCUUUCUUUUUCAUGUUUGAUCCAGAGGGGUCACUUCUGCAAACUCAUUAAGACAGAAAUGCAAAUGAUCUUCUCUUUCACUAUAUUUCUCUUUUUUUGUAGAAAAAAAGGCAAUUAUUCUGCCUAAUUACUGUAAAAGAAAAUACUAAGCAAGAGCUGUGCCUUUAACGGCCAGUGUACAUAGUUUACAUGUUUAUGCUAAAUUAUGAUUUCUAACAGUCUAAUAUCCAGUGAUGAUGAAAUGCUUGGCUCUUAAAUGAUGUAUAAGCAGUGUACGUUUUCCUUUGAAGUCUUGCUGAAAUGUGGAUAGUUGUAUGUUCUUGUCCUUACGAUCAGGUCAGAUACCCACAAAUAGGGUGAAUUUGGAUUUUUAUUCUGACUGUUGGCUGUAACAUUCAACUGUUUCGAGACAAACAGAGCUGCUUUCCCAUGCAAAGAAACUUGGCUAAAUUGUAUUCAAAUUUGCAUUUAAAAUGUUACCGUUAUCAGUGUUCAUUCAUAUUUAUUCAUUAGCCAGAUACUUUCAUAAGUAUGUGUGUGUCCUGGAAAAUAAAUCAGAGAAGUAGCUUG